CUUGUCUCAAGACUAAGCCAUGCAUGUCCAAGUAUAAACGCUGUUAUACUGUGAAACUGCGAAUGGCUCAUUAAAUCAGUUAUAGUUUAUUUGAUGGUUUCUUGCUACUUGGAUAACCGUAGUAAUUCUAGAGCUAAUACAUGCAGAAAGUCCCGACUUCUGGAAGGGAUGUAUUUAUUAGAUCCAAAACCAGCGCGGGUCUCCUCGUGGGGCUCGGUUGCUCGGUGAUUCAUGAUAACUGCUCGAAUCGCAGGGCCUCGUGCCGGCGAUGAUCCAUUCAAAUUUCUGCCCUAUCAACUUUCGAUGGUACGGUAGUGGCCUACCAUGGUUGCAACGGGUGACGGAGAAUUAGGGUUCGAUUCCGGAGAGGGAGCCUGAGAAACGGCUACCACAUCCAAGGAAGGCAGCAGGCGCGCAAAUUACCCAAUCCCGACUCGGGGAGGUAGUGACAAUAAAUAACAAUGCCGGGCUAUGUUAGUCUGGCAAUUGGAAUGAGUACAAUCUAAACCCCUUAACGAGGAACAAUUGGAGGGCAAGUCUGGUGCCAGCAGCCGCGGUAAUUCCAGCUCCAAUAGCGUAUAUUAAAGUUGUUGCAGUUAAAAAGCUCGUAGUUGGAUUUCGGGGCAGCCCGUCUGGUCCGUCGCGAGGCGAGUACUGGUCGUGCGCCCUUCCUCUCGGAGGCCCCGACUGCUCUUCGUUGCAGUGGUCGGGGAGUUCGGGACGUUUACUUUGAAAAAAUUAGAGUGUUCAAGGCAGGCCGUCGCCUGAAUACGUUAGCAUGGAAUAAUGGAAGAGGACCUCGGUCCUAUUUUGUUGGUUUCCAGGGCCGAAGUAAUGAUUAAGAGGGACAGUUGGGGGCAUUCGUAUUUAAUUGUCAGAGGUGAAAUUCUCGGAUUUAUGAAAGACGAACAAGUGCGAAAGCAUUUGCCAAGGAUGUUUUCAUUAAUCAAGAACGAAAGUUGGGGGUUCGA
This 971-nucleotide ribosomal RNA is filed under the name Dictyonella sp. KY305. RNAcentral describes it as "SSU rRNA". It matches the Rfam family "Eukaryotic small subunit ribosomal RNA", at positions 31 to 1001 of the family's 1831-position model. The record is from RNAcentral. Lineage: Eukaryota; Metazoa; Porifera; Demospongiae; Bubarida; Dictyonellidae.